UACGGAAGGCAGCAGUGGGGAAUAUUGCACAAUGGGCGCAAGCCUGAUGCAGCCAUGCCGCGUGUAUGAAGAAGGCCUUCGGGUUGUAAAGUACUUUCAGCGGGGAGGAAGGCGGUGAAGUUAAUAGCUUCACCGAUUGACGUUACCCGCAGAAGAAGCACCGGCUAACUCCGUGCCAGCAGCCGCGGUAAUACGGAGGGUGCAAGCGUUAAUCGGAAUUACUGGGCGUAAAGCGCACGCAGGCGGUCUGUCAAGUCGGAUGUGAAAUCCCCGGGCUUAACCUGGGAACUGCAUUCGAAACUGGCAGGCUAGAGUCUUGUAGAGGGGGUAGAAUUCCAGGUGUAGCGGUGAAAUGCGUAGAGAUCUGGAGGAAUCCGGUGGCGAAGGCGGCCCCUGGGACAAGACUGACGCUCAGGGUGCGAAAGCGUGGGGAGCAAACAGGGAUUAGGAUACC
Molecule: ribosomal RNA, 454 nt
Filed under: uncultured bacterium
Lineage: Bacteria
Description: bacterial SSU rRNA
Rfam family: Bacterial small subunit ribosomal RNA
Source: RNAcentral